Non-coding RNA from Physcomitrium patens, 2035 nucleotides. NCBI's taxonomy places the organism in Eukaryota, Viridiplantae, Streptophyta, Bryopsida, Funariales, Funariaceae. The record is from RefSeq and is a predicted model, not a curated record.
GAGAAUUGCCUGGGGAGCAAGAGAAGGACAUAGCGGGUAGUAUAUUAUGAUCCAGAAUUUAGUGGAUCAGCCUGAAGGAUGUGGUUCAUUGUACGCCAUGGAACUAUUCAGCCAGGACGCCGAUAUACUACAACUACCUCCUCCAGUUGUGACACUUCGUCACUAUAUAGCAGCCCACUUCUAGCACUUCUAUGACUCGCUUACUACUUUCAACUUCUCUUCUUUGUGCCCUUUUUCUGCAGGUUAGAGAUCUUGUCCUUCACGCUACGAAGUUCAGCCAUAACAAAAAUUCGCAUCCUGCAGCUCUAGCAUCUUUCCAGUGAGCGUUAAUUCGUGGGAAGUCAUUCAGAAUCUAGCUCUUUGUUCAACCUUUCCUAGGGCUCAUACCCACUGUGAAGCAUGAGCUUGUGAUUUGUCUCCUGCCAGCUGAAAGUUGUGCUAGAAAUCCAUGUCAACAAGCGAAUUUCUUGAUCGGAAGUACUAUUGUUGGAGUUCAGGGGAAUUAGUGGAUAGCUGAUAUGACGGGGAUGUUUACAAUGCCUCUGUGAAUGGAUUGUCAUGAGUUGAGAAAUUGAACUACGUGUGUCCAUCGUUCUUCCCGAAGCUAAAGUCUCAAUCAGGUUACACUCCGAACGCAACGACAGGCAAAAAGCCGUCGAUUAAUCAUCCUGGCUCGUGGAAGUUGAUUUCGAUUAAACAGAUUGCUUGUUCCUCUCCCUCAAAGGCUUCCAACAACAGGUACUUGGUCUUGUUUUCACCAGCAAAGCUAAGGCCCGUCCCAGAUGUUAGAAGCCUCUGGGGGUGACGAAGCAGCAGCUGUAUGGGUGGUUCCCAUACUACAAAACACAUCCCAAUCUUCAAGUUCUUCUCGGUGAUCAACAUACGGUUACUAAUUCUUCUAACUUCCGCCGAUAAAUAGAGAUCAAUCAAGCUUCUAUGCUGACCCGUCCGGAAGAUCACAAUACCAUUCGAUCGGCUUUGAGUUUGACAAUCAAGCCGAUGUAAUUGAGGUCAGUGAUCGGUUACAACAGCUUGCCCUGUUGAAAGAGCCAUUAAAGCCGGUGGCAGAUAUUACUAAAUAGGAUUUUGAUGAUGUGAACGUUGCCUUCUUUCAAGUAUUGUAAUUCGUCUGGUGUAUCUGUACCCUCCAAGAGAACUUGGUUCUUCAGAAUAAGAAGGCUCCGACAAGCUCGUGAAGUUGCGGCAAAAGGCGGUAAUGCAUGACACAAAAAAGGUAAUGCUGCAGCACUCGCACUCUAGGAUCGAAUCGUGUAAGUUUUGCAUUAACCUGAAGUCUUCAAGCUAGUCAGAAAGUAUGUAUCAUGGUGAUGAUAGUGUACAUGACAACGCAGUACCUUAAGCGUGCAAGUCAACAAGGCUUCAUACCACUGCUGACAUUGCUACACUCGUAAGACUUAAAAAUUUGCAUCAUAGACUAGGUCGUUGUCUAAAAAGCUGAGAAAUGCAUCUCUAAACAUGAUGGCUCAAAAGAUACACAGACUAGACAAUGGGUAACACCAGACUGCUUGCUCGGUGAUCCCAGGUUUUCAUAUGAUUAGAUAAAUCUCGGUCUACACAUCCAAGCCACGAUCAAAAUUUAUUCAUAAUUUAAAAAGGUGGAAGAUGCACAGCUAAGAUCAGUGCCAGGCUCGCAUAUAAUGGCAUACUCAACACCAUUAUGUAAGACAAUCAGACAAAUUGUACUACUUCUCCACAAAUGUCAAAAGAUCUUGUGAGAUUUAACCGCCGAGCUUUACUGACCUUAAAAGAAUUAUGUAACAGGAGAGUGUUAACUGCAUGGAAAAGCCUACCAGCCUCGUAACAGUCAACCAUCUUUUCUAGUGAUUCCUUAUAAUGGUAAUGCCGCAGCUGUUUGAUAAUUGUAUUACUGCUCAUCAAGUAGAUCGAUAAAGAAAAUCUUGACCAUUCAUUGAUAGUAAUCUGAGGAACUAUCAGUGAAGUAGCGGUGAUGUCGAGUAGAGAUAUACAACUGCUUUGAAAGUUGACUGUUUAUCGAAGAAUCCGUUACUGAUGA